This 253-nucleotide ribosomal RNA is filed under the name uncultured bacterium. RNAcentral describes it as "partial 16S ribosomal RNA". It matches the Rfam family "Bacterial small subunit ribosomal RNA", at positions 524 to 776 of the family's 1533-position model. The record is from RNAcentral.
UACGUAGGGGGCAAGCGUUGUCCGGAUUUAUUGGGCGUAAAGAGCGUGUAGGCGGCUAUACAGGUCCGUUGUGAAAACUCGAGGCUCAACCUCGAGAUGUCGGCGGAAACCGUCUGGCUAGAGUCCGGAAGAGGAGAGUGGAAUUCCUGGUGUAGCGGUGAAAUGCGCAGAUAUCGGGAAGAACACCUAUGGCGAAGGCAGCUCUCUGGGACGGUACUGACGCUGAGACGCGGAAGCGUGGGGAGCGAACAGG